This 146-nucleotide unclassified non-coding RNA is filed under the name soil metagenome. RNAcentral describes it as "partial internal transcribed spacer 1". The record is from RNAcentral.
UAAUAAGUGUUUUAUGGCACUUUUUAAAUCCAUAUCCACCUUGUGUGCAAUGUCAGUCGAUCUUCUUCAUGGAGAUCGACCAAGCAUCAACCUUUAUCUUUUAACUCUUUUGUCUUAAAAAUAUUAUGAAUAAACAAUUCAAAAUA